AGCGAACGCUGGCGGCAGGCCUAACACAUGCAAGUCGAACGGACCCUUCGGGGUUAGUGGCGGACGGGUGAGUAACACGUGGGAACGUGCCUUUAUGUUCGGAAUAGCUCCUGGAAACGGGUGGUAAUGCCGAAUGUGCCCUUCGGGGGAAAGAUUUAUCGCCUUUAGAGCGGCCCGCGUCUGAUUAGCUAGUUGGUGAGGUAACGGCUCACCAAGGCGACGAUCAGUAGCUGGUCUGAGAGGAUGACCAGCCACACUGGGACUGAGACACGGCCCAGACUCCUACGGGAGGCAGCAGUGGGGAAUCUUGCGCAAUGGGCGAAAGCCUGACGCAGCCAUGCCGGGUGAAUGAUGAAGGUCUUAGGAUUGUAAAAUUCUUUCACCGGGGACGAUAAUGACGGUACCCGGAGAAGAAGCCCCGGCUAACUUCGUG
Molecule: ribosomal RNA, 433 nt
Filed under: uncultured bacterium
Lineage: Bacteria
Description: partial 16S ribosomal RNA
Rfam family: Bacterial small subunit ribosomal RNA
Source: RNAcentral